GUGCUUGUUUUGGCAACACAUACACUAAAAUUGGAAUGGUAUAGAGAAGAUUAACAUGUUCCUAGCACAAAUGUGUCGUGCAAAUUCAUGAAUAUUCCAUAUUUUU
This 106-nucleotide small nuclear RNA is filed under the name Notamacropus eugenii (tammar wallaby). Lineage: Eukaryota; Metazoa; Chordata; Mammalia; Diprotodontia; Macropodidae. The record is from RNAcentral.